This 254-nucleotide long non-coding RNA is filed under the name Trifolium pratense (red clover). RNAcentral describes it as "long non-coding RNA (TPRA_LNC012983)". The record is from RNAcentral. Lineage: Eukaryota; Viridiplantae; Streptophyta; Magnoliopsida; Fabales; Fabaceae.
GUGAAAGUGUAGCGAAAGAGAAUGAGGAAAUCAAAAAGGAAUUGGAGGACACAGAAACUGGAGAAACUAGUGAUGAAAAGAGUCAGUUAGAGAAUGAAGAGAACAAAGAUGAAGAAAAGAGUCAGCAAGAGAAUGAAGAGAACAAAGAUGAAGAGAAGAGUCAGGUAGAGAAUGAAGAGAACAAAGAGGAAGAAAAGAGUCAGGUAGAGAAUGAAGAGAACAAAGAUGAAGAGAAGAGUCAGCAAGAGAAUGAA